UGGGGAAUCUUGGACAAUGGGGGCAACCCUGAUCCAGCCAUGCCGCGUGGGUGAAGAAGGCCUUAGGGUUGUAAAGCCCUUUCAGUCGUGACGAUGAUGACGGUAGCGACAGAAGAAGCCCCGGCUAACUCCGUGCCAGCAGCCGCGGUAAUACGGAGGGGGCAAGCGUUGUUCGGAUUUACUGGGCGUAAAGGGCGCGUAGGCGGACGGUCAAGUCAGAGGUGGAAGGCCCGGGCUCAACCUGGGACGUGCCUUUGAAACUGAUUGUCUUGAGUGCGGAAGAGGUGAGUGGAAUUCCUAGUGUAGAGGUGAAAUUCGUAGAUAUUAGGAAGAACACCAGUGGCGAAGGCGGCUCACUGGCUCGGUACUGACGCUGAGGUGCGAAAGCGUGGGGAGCAAACAGGAUUAGAUACCCCCGUAGUCC
RNAcentral lists this ribosomal RNA (424 nucleotides) under uncultured prokaryote. Its description in RNAcentral is "bacterial SSU rRNA". It matches the Rfam family "Bacterial small subunit ribosomal RNA", at positions 355 to 796 of the family's 1533-position model. The record is from RNAcentral.